GUGAUUGGUUGGUGUCCAAUCGUGCUGUGUCCAAAAGAGUGUCACCCAUCAGUAACUAUAUUUUACAAAAAAAAAACGGAUACAACUUACUUUUUGUUCUACAGUUGAUUGAUGAUACUUCGUAAAAUAAUGCUCCAAUAAAUAGGUAAUAUAUCUACACUAGAGGGCAAAUGUUCAGAGAGAAAAGAAGGGAAAAAGUAAACUUUUUUACAAAAAAAGUACCCUCUUACAAAUCUUUGGCCAAACACAAUACAAUUUCGUAGCGAUAACGCACACAACGAAAACCACGUAUACCUGAGGCGUCGCAAGCUCACGGUUUGCGGCGGCGCGACGGCAGCGAGCGUUUGAGCAGCCUUUAAACCAAAUAAUUUAAACCAAUACGGCGACGAAAAGAGAAACGGACAGAACAAAUGAUAGAAUUGACGCGCUAAGGCGUCGCGACGUCGCGAGCUCACGGUUUGCGGCGGCGCGACGGCCGCAGCCUUUGAAACAAAAUACAGCGACGAAAAGAGAAAGGAAUAGAACAAAUGAUAGAGUUGACGUGUUUAUAUAAAAUUCUUCCUUUAAUUCAUAUACAAUUGUAAAUUUACUUUACAACCGUAUAUGAAUUAAAGAAAAAAUUAUAUUUUUAUAACACUUUUGAGUUUUUGUUUACUCUACUUAGUGUUAAAAUUUUUUACAUUAUAAUAUUAGUAAAAAAAAUUUUGGCUGGCUUUAAAUUAAAAAAAAAUCCGACCUAGCUGCCGCCCCCUAAGCCCUGCCGCCCGGGUGCCUCUUGCAUCCCCGCUUAAGACGCCCCCGAUUCAGAUUUAUUUUUAUAAAAUCAAAAUUGUAUUGGCAAAUUUGUAUACUUAUUACAGGCCAUUAUAUUAUUAGAAAAUAUUGGUGCGAAAGUUCAUGGCGUUAUAACUGAUGGUGCAGCCACAAAUUUUGGACAACAGUGGGAAUAUGUGGUAGAAAAGAUAAUUUAAAAAAUAGUUUUAGUCAUCAUACAAUAGAUGGACGUUAUAUAUAUGUGUUUUUUCCGAUACACUACACCUCAAAACAAUAAAAAAUCGUUUGCAACACCACUACAGCUCAAUCUGAAUGAAGCUUUAGUAAAAUGGGAAUAUUUUCAAAUUUUGCACAAUAAGGACAAAACACUGCCAGCCGAAAUGCGUGUAUGUCCAAAAAUAACCAUCAUUUGACGCUCUCAAACAUGGCUAAAAUAAGAGUUCAAUUAGCAGUUCAAGUUUUCAAUAAAUCAAUGGCCAGUGGAUUAAAAUUUGACAAAAAUUUCUUACCUAAUUUGCAAGAUUGCGACAACACAGCAAACUUUUGCGAGUGGAUCAAUAAUUUAUUCGACGCAUUAAAUCAAAUUAAAGUUUCAGAAGGAAUGACAAUUGGAGAUAAACAUUAUAAGAUAAGUUCAGUUUUGAAUGUUUAGUUAAAAACAGUCUUUAUGUGUAGAAAAAAUAUUGUUAAAUAUGACAUUUUUAUUAGAUUUUAGAAGAAUCCCUUAUCAAGGUAAAUACUUGGGAACAAUAUGUCGUAAAUAGUAACAUAUCAGAAAAUCGUUUUUUAACAAGACAAACUGCAGAUAGGCUGAGAGUAACUAUACAAUCAACAUUCGAUUUAGUGAAGUAUUUGAUACUGAAUGCUAAUUUCAAUAGUGUCUUAACAAGACGAUUAAAUCAAGAUUCAUUGAAGGUGUUUCUUUAAAAUUUUUUAACUUUUAUAAUUUUUUUUCAAUAUUCAAACUUUAAUUUUUAAUAUUAACUCAAAAAUAUGUUUUUUAUAAUAUGAUUGUUACGUCUGGCGGAUAAAAUUUUUUCAUUUUCUUAUGCUAUCCUUUUCAGAGUUGUCUAGCAAUAGCAGAUUAAAUUUGGAACCACCCUCCGACCAAUUAAAUAAAACCUAAAUCUAUGCGGACAUCAUAAUUCGCUUCGGUACGCUUUUCCUACCAGUAUAAAGCGCGAAGUCGAGAAAAAUUAUAACACGGCCUUAUGCGAGCCCCGCGUCGCGCAGUUCCCGCGACCAUCUAGAAACGUCGUGCGUACAAUCUACGCGUCAUUGCACAAACUAUAAGCGCAAGCCGCGCGGUCGCGGAACGGUGCGGGUCUCUAAGGACUAUGCGUGUAACGACCGUACUUCGCGCACGGACGGUUAGCGGUGUGGGAACGGGCGCGAAAGGUCGCCUGAAGGAAUUAGACGUCGUUUUGGUUGGUGUAAAAUAAAAAGUUUAUUAAGAAUAGAAGAGACGCAGCAAGACUAACAUACGUCUCGUGAACAUACAAGCAGCGGUACGUAAUAAUAUCAGCGGUGUGGUUACAGAGAAUAUGGAGACGCGGAAUUAAUCGCGGAACUUAAACUAAUAACGAGAACGCGCGGACGGACGUGACAAUAAACUUCGCGGACGAAAAUACGGAAAGCUAUUUACAAGAUUAUAUACACAAGCACCUGCUACGCGAGACACGGUUCGCGGAACGUCGUCGCAUUAUUUUCCUGAAAACCAGGCGACCUUGUUAUUGUGGCCGUGAAACUGUCGCGAGACGCAGCGCGUGGUGCGGUAAGGCGGGGCGCGUACACGUACACGGAUCCGUGUGGUCGGUGUCGGUUUUCGCGCGGCUCGUCGCGAGACGGUUAAGAUCGCUAUAGCGAUCGCCGGAGGACACUAUCCCACGCCAAGUGCGCUUGGUGGAGGCACGGAGCACCGUACCUCCUUAUGCGAGGUAGCGUCGGACUCGGGAGGCGGAGAGGAUCGCUCUUUGUCAAGUGGCUUGACAGGGCCCAAGUUUUACUUGAGCCCGUUGCGGCGAGUCGGGAAGCGGAGUCGGAGUCGGAAACGGAGUUGGUUGCGAGCCAAGUAUCUUAGCAAAGACCGAGGCGCUCGAUCUCGGUAGCAACCUGGGGAGCUUCUAUUCGGCGGACCGGCCAGAAGCGGACAAGGUGCUCGCCUCCGGCAAACGUCGCCUUAUAUACCUGAGAAUCGAGGCGAGGGGAUGUGCGACGUGUUACGGCGGAGUGGUCCGGCGGCAGCAUCCCCGCCACUCGAUCUCGGGUCUUUCGUUUCGGGCCACGCGCGUAGAGCGUGGCUGCGGACGGCGUGGGAACGAGAGCGCGUGCGCGCGAAGAUGCAAGUGUGGGAGCGAUCGCUUGCUCGCUCCGUUGUUGUUUAUUUUAUUAGGCGCUAUGCGCCGAUAA
Long non-coding RNA from Solenopsis invicta (red fire ant), 3183 nucleotides. RefSeq lists it as uncharacterized. The record is from RefSeq and is a predicted model, not a curated record. NCBI's taxonomy places the organism in Eukaryota, Metazoa, Arthropoda, Insecta, Hymenoptera, Formicidae. The transcript is spliced from 3 exons.